CUAGUCGUUCCCUCCCUCCCGCCCGGACCGAGCCUUCUGUCUCCUUUUCGUCCCUCCCCUGUUUUUUUCUCCGGUUGAAAAUCUGCAAAACCUUUCCGCAGAAGUUGGCAACACAGUGGACUCGGUUGUUGGCGGCUGUGGAUUUGAGGACCUGGGCAAUGUUCCUGAUUUUAUGCAGAUGCCAUGGCUCCAUAUAUAAAGGACAUUCACUAAAAAGAAAACAAGUAUGGAAACCGUAAUACCUUGAGGAGCACGUUGCAGCCUGGGAAUAUCAAAGUUGGACCUUUAGAGCCUUAAUCCUGCCUGCUCCCUGUUGGAAUAAUAAAUGAACACAGUGUAAAACA
Molecule: long non-coding RNA, 344 nt
Filed under: Ursus americanus (American black bear)
Lineage: Eukaryota; Metazoa; Chordata; Mammalia; Carnivora; Ursidae
Description: lncRNA (ENSUAMG00000013937.1)
Source: RNAcentral